CCUACGGGUGGCAGCAGUGGGGAAUAUUGCGCAAUGGGCGAAAGCCUGACGCAGCGACGCCGCGUGAGGGAUGAAGGUCUUCGGAUCGUAAACCUCUGUCAGCAGGGAAGAACGGUCACUGUGCUAAUCAGCAGUGAAUUGACGGUACCUGCAACGGAAGCACCGGCUAACUCCGUGCCAGCAGCCGCGGUAAUACGGAGGGUGCGAGCGUUAAUCGGAAUUACUGGGCGUAAAGCGCUCGUAGGCGGUAUGUCAAGUCAAGGGUGAAAUCCCCGCGCUCAAUGUGGGAACUGAGUUUGAAACUGGCAAACUGGAGUGUGUGAGAGGAUAGUGGAAUUCCAGGGGUAGGAGUGAAAGCCGUAGAUAUCUGGAGGAACAUCAGUGGCGAAGGCGACUAUCUGGCACAUAACUGACGCUGAGGAGCGAAAGCGUGGGUAGCAAACAGGAUUAGAUACCCCAGUAGUC
This 465-nucleotide ribosomal RNA is filed under the name uncultured bacterium. Its description in RNAcentral is "partial 16S ribosomal RNA". It matches the Rfam family "Bacterial small subunit ribosomal RNA", at positions 338 to 795 of the family's 1533-position model. The record is from RNAcentral.